ACGCGACCAUCCGCCAAGUGAGCCACGUGUUUAAGCUUCCGCCAAAAGUCAUGCCUAACUUAACGAUUUAUCGUGGUCUUGAUUGUUACUUCUAAAAUUACAGAUGCGUGCAACUCAAUUCAAUCUCGUUUGGUGCUUGAAAGAUAUAUCGACGAAUUCAUCUGAAACUUGAGGUGAACUGUUAUAUCGGCAAGUUUGUUUUUGGAAUGAUGGAGAGAUAGAAACUCGUGGCCACCAGUGUCAAAUCAGUUCAGCUUUCACAAUAUUGCCAAAAUUCGAGUGACAGGUUUUUAAGCACGCUAAUGUGGAAAAUAAAGCAACGUAUAAGGACUACGCGUUGAUAUGAACGUUAACAGAGAGAUCAGUCGCUCGAAAAUGCCGAGCUUCAAAGAAUUCAUUUCGGUGGCACUUAUUUGACCAAAUUAAUUUUCAAUUAUAUUCAAACCGCCCGGGG
Molecule: long non-coding RNA, 454 nt
Organism: Neodiprion virginianus
Lineage: Eukaryota; Metazoa; Arthropoda; Insecta; Hymenoptera; Diprionidae
Exons: 2
Source: RefSeq, a predicted model, not a curated record